CCCUUAGAUGUUCUGGGCCGCACGCGCGCUACACUGACGAAUUCAACGAGUUUAUAACCUUUGCUGGGAGGCAUGGGUAAUCUUGUGAACGUUCGUCGUGAUGGGGAUAGAUUAUCGCAAUUGUUAAUCUUCAACGAGGAAUUCCUAGUAAACGCAAGUCAUCAGCUUGCAUUGAUUACGUCCCUGCCCUUUGUACACACCGCCCGUCGCACCUACCGAUUGAAUGGUCCGGUGAAUUCUUCGGACUGCGGCUUUGACUCGAUUUCGGUCGAGGCGUUGCUGCGGGAAGUUGAUUAAACCUUACCAUUUAGAGGAAGGUGAAGUCGUAACA
Molecule: ribosomal RNA, 331 nt
Filed under: uncultured eukaryote
Lineage: Eukaryota
Description: partial 18S ribosomal RNA
Rfam family: Eukaryotic small subunit ribosomal RNA
Source: RNAcentral